This 497-nucleotide ribosomal RNA is filed under the name uncultured bacterium. RNAcentral's name for it is "partial 16S ribosomal RNA". It matches the Rfam family "Bacterial small subunit ribosomal RNA", at positions 28 to 507 of the family's 1533-position model. The record is from RNAcentral.
GAUGAACGCUGGCGGCGUGCCUAAUACAUGCAAGUCGAGCGAACAGACGAGGAGCUUGCUCCUCUGACGUUAGCGGCGGACGGGUGAGUAACACGUGGAUAACCUACCUAUAAGACUGGGAUAACUUCGGGAAACCGGAGCUAAUACCGGAGAAUAUAUUGAACCGCAUGGUUCAAUAGUUAAAGACGGCUUCGCUGUCACUUAUAGACGGAUCCGCGCCGCAUUAGCUAGUUGGUAAGGUAACGGCUUACCAAGGCAACGAUGCGUAGCCGACCUGAGAGGGUGAUCGGCCACACUGGAACUGAGACACGGUCCAGACUCCUACGGGAGGCAGCAGUAGGGAAUCUUCCGCAAUGGGCGAAAGCCUGAUGGAGCAACGCCGCGUGAGUGAUGAAGGUCUUCGGAUCGUAAAACUCUGUUAUUAGGGAAGAACAAAUGUGUAAGUAACUAUGCACGUCUUGACGGUACCUAAUCAGAAAGCCACGGCUAACUACGUG